RNAcentral lists this ribosomal RNA (505 nucleotides) under Fusarium oxysporum. Its description in RNAcentral is "eukaryotic LSU rRNA". The stretch from base 151 to 304 matches the Rfam family "5.8S ribosomal RNA". The record is from RNAcentral. Lineage: Eukaryota; Fungi; Ascomycota; Sordariomycetes; Hypocreales; Nectriaceae.
GGGGGGAUCGAGUUCACUCCCAACCCCUGUGACAUACCACUUGUUGCCUCGGCGGAUCAGCCCGCUCCCGGUAAAACGGGACGGCCCGCCAGAGGACCCCUAAACUCUGUUUCUAUAUGUAACUUCUGAGUAAAACCAUAAAUAAAUCAAAACUUUCAACAACGGAUCUCUUGGUUCUGGCAUCGAUGAAGAACGCAGCAAAAUGCGAUAAGUAAUGUGAAUUGCAGAAUUCAGUGAAUCAUCGAAUCUUUGAACGCACAUUGCGCCCGCCAGUAUUCUGGCGGGCAUGCCUGUUCGAGCGUCAUUUCAACCCUCAAGCACAGCUUGGUGUUGGGACUCGCGUUAAUUCGCGUUCCUCAAAUUGAUUGGCGGUCACGUCGAGCUUCCAUAGCGUAGUAGUAAAACCCUCGUUACUGGUAAUCGUCGCGGCCACGCCGUUAAACCCCAACUUCUGAAUGUUGACCUCGGAUCAGGUAGGAAUACCCGCUGAACUUAAGCAUAUCAA